UGGGGAAUAUUGCACAAUGGGCGAAAGCCUGAUGCAGCGACGCCGCGUGAGGGAUGACGGCCUUCGGGUUGUAAACCUCUUUCAGUAGGGACGAAGCGCAAGUGACGGUACCUGCAGAAGAAGCACCGGCUAACUACGUGCCAGCAGCCGCGGUAAUACGUAGGGUGCGAGCGUUGUCCGGAAUUACUGGGCGUAAAGAGCUCGUAGGCGGUUUGUCACGUCGUCUGUGAAAUCCUAGGGCUUAACCCUGGACGUGCAGGCGAUACGGGCUGACUUGAGUGCUACAGGGGAGACUGGAAUUUCUGGUGUAGCGGUGGAAUGCACAGAUAUCAGGAAGAACACCGAUGGCGAGGGCAGGUCUCUGGGUAGUAACUGACGCUGAGGAGCGAAAGCAUGGGUAGCGAACAGG
RNAcentral lists this ribosomal RNA (409 nucleotides) under bacterium. RNAcentral describes it as "partial 16S ribosomal RNA". It matches the Rfam family "Bacterial small subunit ribosomal RNA", at positions 355 to 776 of the family's 1533-position model. The record is from RNAcentral.